AAUGAACGCUGGCGGCAGGCCUAACACAUGCAAGUCGAACGGGUCCUUCGGGACUAGUGGCGGACGGGUGAGUAACGCGUGGGAACGUGCCCCUUGGUACGGAAUAGCCCCGGGAAACUGGGAGUAAUACCGUAUGUGGUCGAGAGACGAAAGAUUUAUCGCCAAGGGAUCGGCCCGCGUUGGAUUAGGUAGUUGGUGGGGUAAUGGCCUACCAAGCCGACGAUCCAUAGCUGGUUUGAGAGGAUGAUCAGCCACACUGGGACUGAGACACGGCCCAGACUCCUACGGGAGGCAGCAGUGGGGAAUCUUAGACAAUGGGGGAAACCCUGAUCUAGCCAUGCCGCGUGAUCGAUGAAGGCCUUAGGGUUGUAAAAGAUCUUUCAGGUGGGAAGAUAAUGACUGUACCACCAGAAGAAGCCCCGGCUAACUCCGUGCCAGCAGCCGCGGUAAAAAGUACUCUAAU
Molecule: ribosomal RNA, 463 nt
Filed under: uncultured bacterium
Lineage: Bacteria
Description: bacterial SSU rRNA
Rfam family: Bacterial small subunit ribosomal RNA
Source: RNAcentral